AAGAGGACGGGUGGGGGAGGGGGGGCCAUGCAAGAGCACCUCUGAGUAUCCUAUGGCACUCCCCUUCCGAAGGAUCCCCGAAUCCCAGCGUUCACCAGGGCGCACAACGGAACCGCUCGGUCGUAUCACUCUGUGCAAUCGACUUCUCCGUCUUUCCUUCUCCCUCACCUGUCUCACGGCUCUUUGUAUUCGUUGCUUGUACCUUUACCGCACCCACCAACUCACCGCAUCGCUCUCUCAUUUUACACACACUCACAUAUACAUAUAUAUGUACAUCUGCUGCAUCACGCUGUGCGUAUCGUGUGGAGGAGGAUGGGUUUGAAGGGCGCAUCUGAGCUGCACAUCGUCACACUCCUUUUCUCUCCUCUUCCCCGCAUCUGAGGUUCACGAACGGAAAGACAUCGAAAGCGGCAGAGAAACGCACUGCCUUGUCCGACCACCAUUUCCGCUCACUUCCCCAAAUGCACACGCAAGCCGGUCAGUGGCACCAAAACACUUGUGAACACGGUUCCUCCAUUCACAGACGGCUUGUCAGCUAUGUUGUUGCCCGUCUGCCUUGAGAGUGUGUGUGUGUCGUUGCGUGCUUGUGCAUCUUCGCGCUAGCACACACGUGAAGGAAUGCCUGCCUCCCUUCACCCAUCGUCCACGCAUUGAUCCUCGGCUUCUUUCCAUCCUGCUCGGUUGCUGCAUCUCUCUCUCUCUCUCUGCCCCCUCCCUCCCUCUUGCGUUCCCCUACACAAG
RNAcentral lists this unclassified non-coding RNA (741 nucleotides) under Leishmania donovani. Its description in RNAcentral is "gene:unknown". Lineage: Eukaryota; Euglenozoa; Kinetoplastea; Trypanosomatida; Trypanosomatidae. The record is from RNAcentral.